UGUAGACUGUAAUAAAUAACCAUCAAAAGCCGAGGAACCAGAACAGAAAACGGUCCUGGAAAUAACAAUGGGGAAUAGCACUUCCUCUGCUUCCUCUGCUUCUCUGCUCAGUCAAUACCAAGAGUACCUGGACAGAGCUGCAGGUCUGAACAGCACAGAGGAUCAUGCUCUCCUCUCCCUCCCUAGCUCCUAAAUUUAGUAAGAUAUCUGGCUUAUAUUCAGCAAUUCUUUUACAGCAACACUUUCCAGGAGUUGAAGUCAAGAUUUUCGAUGCCAGCGACAAAGUAUAUGGGGUUCUGUGUACACUUGACUUACCAAUUCUCGUCUGAGCCGAAUCAGUAUAUUGUGAAGCUGGGGCUAUGAGAAUUCCAUGCAUCGAUAGUCACUGACCUGUGUUUUAACUCAUUGACUUUCUCAACAUCCAGGCGAUCAUAUGGAACUGAUGGAUUUCAGUGGGGAACCGAGUUUUUGUCAACAGAACAAUGGUUGCAUUUAAUAUGUCUGCUAUAAGUACGCUGCUGAAAACUACAAGGAGCUGGGAUUUCCGGAAGAUGCUGUUGCUAAUGGAGAAACGAAUCAGUAUUAUCUUGAAGCACUGAAACCCCUCUCUGCCGGAAGCAUUUGAGGACAAUUUUGAAGAAGCUUUGAUGAAAUACCAUGCAUGACAUGUAUAUUGGAGUUCCAACUAUAAUUAUGUUGAAGUUUAUGUGUUGUCAGAGCGACUUGCGACUUGCGUUAUAUGGGCUGUUGGAAGUGUUCUUCUUUGAUGGUAUUUUCGAUUUCCAUGCAGCUAACAUGGUCAAUGGAGGUAUGUCUAUAAGCUCCCAGAAUUGUGUGCUGAAAAUUUUGUGCAGAAGCCGUUCAAAGAUAAAAUUGAGAGAUUCUCAAAAGUCGAGUCGCUAUGACAGUCAAAUCAAAGAAGAUGUUCUGAACCUUUGCAAAACGAAUGAUCUGAUCUACGAAGAAUUGGACACUCUGUGAUUAUGGCUGUUUGUUGCCUUUGUUUCGUCUGCAGAUAAUACUUGUAAUUGAGGCCGGAAAGCAAGCAGGAGCUCACAAAAGGAGACAGGUGUGGGCGUGUACGAGGAUUAUGAGCCACUGCCAUGUAUGGUGUGUGUAGUCUCUAUCAUGCACUUGUCUCAGGAAAUGGCCUUGUGGUGAGUAAUACCAAUAUUCAUUAGGACAACUGAGCUCUGUUCAAUUUCUUCUAUGCAUCAUUAUUGUCGUAGCUCUAACUGUUGGGGUGUAUUCCUCCCUCCAUGCAUGUAACCUGGUCCUGGAGACUGGAGAGGGUCUGUCGUUCCUCAUGCACACGUCUCACAUAGUCAAGACAACACACUCAGAAGAUCAUAUUUAUACUGCCGGGAAGAUUGAUAUUCACAAGAAAAGAGCAUCUCGUCGGCAAAAGGAGAAAGAAAAGAAAAAAAAAGAGAUAUAUAGUGAAAGAGGAGCCACCGCAAGAGGACUCGUGGGUGUAGCUCAUUCUGUGUGUCUAAUUCAAACUCAACAGUAACUAUUUUAGGAUGCAAUGUCACCCCCUUUUUGUGCACCUUCUGACCAGCUUACAUUCAACCACGUUCUAAUAAUUCACUGUAUGUAUAAUUUUAUGACAUGUAUUUCAUCAAUGCUA
Long non-coding RNA from Halichondria panicea, 1630 nucleotides. RefSeq lists it as uncharacterized. The record is from RefSeq and is a predicted model, not a curated record. Lineage: Eukaryota; Metazoa; Porifera; Demospongiae; Suberitida; Halichondriidae. The transcript is spliced from 3 exons.